UGCCAGUCGAACGGAAACAUGUCUAGCUUGCUAGAUGAUGUCGAGUGGCGGACGGGUGAGUAAUGCUUGGGAACUUGCCUUUGCGAGGGGGAUAACAGUUGGAAACGACUGCUAAUACCGCAUAAUGUCUACGGACCAAACAGGGCUUCGGCUCUGGCGCAAAGAGAGGCCCAAGUGAGAUUAGCUAGUUGGUGAGGUAAAGGCUCACCAAGGCAACGAUCUCUAGCUGUUCUGAGAGGAAGAUCAGCCACACUGGGACUGAGACACGGCCCAGACUCCUACGGGAGGCAGCAGUGGGGAAUAUUGCACAAUGGGGGAAACCCUGAUGCAGCCAUGCCGCGUGUGUGAAGAAGGCCUUCGGGUUGUAAAGCACUUUCAGUUGUGAGGAAAAGUUAGUAGUUAAUACCUGCUAGCCGUGACGUUAACAACAGAAGAAGCACCGGCUAACUCCGUGCCAGCAGCCGCGGUAAUACGGAGGGUGCGAGCGUUAAUCGGAAUUACUGGGCGUAAAGCGCACGCAGGCGGUUUGUUAAGCUAGAUGUGAAAGCCCCGGGCUCAACCUGGGACGGUCAUUUAGAACUGGCAGACUAGAGUCUUGGAGAGGGGAGUGGAAUUCCAGGUGUAGCGGUGAAAUGCGUAGAUAUCUGGAGGAACAUCAGUGGCGAAGGCGACUCCCUGGCCAAAGACUGACGCUCAUGUGCGAAAGUGUGGGUAGCGAACAGGAUUAGAUACCCUGGUAGUCCACACCGUAAACGCUGUCUACUAGCUGUUUGUGACUUUAAGUCGUGAGUAGCGAAGCUAACGCGAUAAGUAGACCGCCUGGGGAGUACGGCCGCAAGGUUAAAACUCAAAUGAAUUGACGGGGGCCCGCACAAGCGGUGGAGCAUGUGGUUUAAUUCGAUGCAACGCGAAGAACCUUACCUACACUUGA
RNAcentral lists this ribosomal RNA (931 nucleotides) under Alteromonas sp. RNAcentral's name for it is "bacterial SSU rRNA". It matches the Rfam family "Bacterial small subunit ribosomal RNA", at positions 56 to 984 of the family's 1533-position model. The record is from RNAcentral. Lineage: Bacteria; Pseudomonadati; Pseudomonadota; Gammaproteobacteria; Alteromonadales; Alteromonadaceae.